This 253-nucleotide ribosomal RNA is filed under the name uncultured bacterium. Its description in RNAcentral is "partial 16S ribosomal RNA". It matches the Rfam family "Bacterial small subunit ribosomal RNA", at positions 524 to 776 of the family's 1533-position model. The record is from RNAcentral.
UACGUAGGGUGCAAGCGUUAAUCGGAAUUACUGGGCGUAAAGCGUGCGCAGGCGGUUCGCUAAGACAGGUGUGAAAUCCCCGGGCUUAACCUGGGAACUGCAUUUGUGACUGCAUAGCUAGAGUACGGUAGAGGGGGAUGGAAUUCCGCGUGUAGCAGUGAAAUGCGUAGAUAUGCGGAGGAACACCGAUGGCGAAGGCAAUCCCCUGGACCUGUACUGACGCUCAUGCACGAAAGCGUGGGGAGCAAACAGG